Non-coding RNA from Schistosoma curassoni, 45 nucleotides. The record is from Rfam. NCBI's taxonomy places the organism in Eukaryota, Metazoa, Platyhelminthes, Trematoda, Strigeidida, Schistosomatidae.
AUCCAGCUGACGAGUCCUAGAUAGGACGAAAUGUGCGUAAUGGAU